UACGUAGGUGGCAAGCGUUGUCCGGAUUUAUUGGGCGUAAAGCGCGCGCAGGCGGUUUCUUAAGUCCAUCUUAAAAGUGCGCGGCUUAACCCCGUGAUGGGAUGGAAACUGGGAGACUUGAGUGCAGGAGAGGAAAGUGGAAUUCCAAGUGUAGCGGUGAAAUGCGUAGAGAUUAGGAAGAACACCAGUGGCGAAGGCGACUUUCUGGACUGUAACUGACGCUGAGGCGCGAAAGCGUGGGGAGCAAACAGG
This 252-nucleotide ribosomal RNA is filed under the name uncultured bacterium. RNAcentral's name for it is "partial 16S ribosomal RNA". It matches the Rfam family "Bacterial small subunit ribosomal RNA", at positions 524 to 776 of the family's 1533-position model. The record is from RNAcentral.